This is a long non-coding RNA of Rhineura floridana, 478 nucleotides long. RefSeq lists it as uncharacterized. Lineage: Eukaryota; Metazoa; Chordata; Lepidosauria; Squamata; Rhineuridae. The record is from RefSeq and is a predicted model, not a curated record. The transcript has 3 exons.
AGGAUUCUUGAGGGGUGAGCCAUUUCAGGGGGUGCUGCUGAUGGGUUUAACUGUUGUUUCAUUUUGUUUUUAACAGAUAGGUAUUUUUAAGAGAUAGUCAGACUUGGCAAGAAGAAGGAGAAGAAGGCGACGAGGGAGAAGAAGGAGAAGGAGAAGACGACGACGACGAUGACAACUAACUCAAGGAAAGGAACAGCCUCAAGGAAAGGUUCAUGGAAGAGAUGAGUGCAACAGGGAAGAAGAACAUUUCCAUGAAACGAACAGGCAACUGAAUGAUAGAAAAUGCCUAAUCCCAUGAACAGCUGAUCAGAAGUAAUCCCCAUCACCUUCAAAGGAAUUAACUCGCAUGUAAUUUGCUCUCCAGAACAAAAAACAACUAUGCUGGUUUGCCAGAGAUGGGAGAGAAGGAAAGCGGAUUGUGAGGGAGAGCGAGUAAGACAAUAUCUUUUCUUGGAUCAAUUAGUUGUCAAAAUAUUGU